UGCAUGAAGUGCAUCAUCCAAAACAAGGAUGUAUUCUUUCCUUUCAGGGAAUAUUUACUACAUCCACAAAAUUUUUUCCUUCCUUCCUUCCUUCCUUCCUUCCUUCCUUCCUUCCUUCCUUCCUUCCUUCCUUCCUUCCUUCCUUUUUUCCUUCCUUCAGUGGUGCUGAGGAUUGAACCCAGGGAUUCAUAUACACUAAGCAAGCACUCUAUCACUCCAUCACAAACCUAGUCCCCCCGCCAAUUUUUACCUUUGGAAAAAUAUGACAGUAUAAUUUAUUUAAAGCACACUAUUUUAAAUUGUUCAAUGGAUAUUUACAUAUGCAUCCAUGUAUGUGUGCUACUACUGGUAAAUAUAUAUAUGGCUCUUAUUUGUAUCAGGACAUUGAGUGAGAAUAAAAAGAAGUAGAGGAUGACUCUAGACUGAGGGAAGCCCUGUGUCAGGCACCUGCAGGGCCCCUCAUCCAGGCUAUCUAGUUUGAUAUUUGGAUAGGCACAAUGAGGUCCAUUAAUUGUCAAGGUAGCUGAGUAAUUUGUCCAUGGUCACACAGUUAGACAGAAUUUGAAACUAGGUCUCUUUGGCACUGUUAGACAAUUGCCAACAAACCCUGGUAUACUUGCUUAACUUGGGCUUCCCUGACCUCAGAGCCUGAGAUAUUUUAUUUGAAAAGUGAUAGCACAGAGGAAGACUGAGGCACAAGGACAGCUGUGAGACAGGGAAGGAGGGAAGAGCUAUUGGUUUGGCCACUACUGCAGAUAGCUUCUGGACCCCUUUGAGGAGCCCUGUACAUGGCAUCUCAAUAGUGCUUUCUGGAAGACCAAGGCAGGCACUAUGCAUCCAUUGCUUCCGUCAUCUGUUGGUCGAGGGUGGUCCCAGGUCAUUAGCUCCCCUCUGACAUCUGGAUUGUAAUGUGCACAUACCAGGCAAUUUCCUGUGGGCAUAUUGCAUGCACUGGACAUGGAGAAGUCCUGGGACAGAAAGCAACAGGUAUGUGGUGGAGUCCCAAGUAAGACACAAUUAGAUUGCACUUGUGUAAAGCUGGACAAAGACUACACGACCCCCUUCCCCCCCCACACACACAUACACCUAGAGCUGUGGCUGCAGUAGAAGACGGGGCUGAGAGGAGAGGAAGAGGUGUGGGAGCAGUAUCCAGUAUACAAACCAAAAGGGUUCUGGUAAUGUAGACCCAGAUUGGGAAACAGUUUUCCAGUAACAUGCCUCUUCUUGUGGCAGAGAUUUCAACCUGAACCCACAUCUAUUCUUCUGCUGGAGUUCAUGUCUGGGCAUGUUUGAGAAAUUAAUGGGGCAGACCUAAGAGAGUCUAUUUGUAUGCAUUUGUGUGCAUGACUUCUUUGUUUUUUCCUGAGGGAAGGGAAAGACAUUUCUAUGUCUAAGAACUUGGAAAGAGAUACAGGGGAAAUAGAAGGGCCAAGUGGUAAGUACUGCAUAGCAAGGCCUGAACUCAAUGGAAAAAAGCAGCUCAGGCAGAAAGGGAAUGAUCUAUUUUAUAAGGGAUCUGAUGCCUUGAUAUCCAGCAGCCUAAGCUCUUUAAAAACCCAGGUGAUAAAGUGUGAUCUAGAAGCCGGGGAGUUGGCGCUCUUCCCACUUCUGCAUGGUUCUGUAGAGAAGAUGGAAUGUUUACAAGCAAUAAACACAGUGUGGGUACUUGCAAGAUUGUUGUUCCAUGUGCUCUGGUUUCCCUGUAUGUUUAGAGACUAAGGAAGAGUUGUUAGGGAUGUUAGCAACUAUCAUAACUGGGGAACUGAACCAGCCUUCAGAGAUGGCUCAGGGGUGGUCCAAGCAGUGGGGGACAGGAAGAAGGGUUGACAAGUGAGCAGAGCAGGAUGCAGGGGUAGCUAGCACUAGGUAGCCAUUUAAGAUGGAGACCCAGUCAUGGGAACUGGGAAAGGGGUUGUAUCAGAGUAGAAUAAAGUAAUAUUCAAGGCCCUGAAGAAACAGCAUAUGGAAUAGGAAUCCAAGAUGUAGCUCAGGAAGGCAUGGGGGCGGAGCCAAAUAUAAUCUAAAGCAGAUGUAAAUAUAAGGCAACCAGGGCAGAAUCUGGUUACGGAAAACACCCAGCCUUGGGAUGGACUGGUCUGAGGCUCCAUCUGCUUUCUCUGCCUGGAGUGUGUCUGAAAGGUAAAAAGGCUGUUUACUAGUUAAACGGGCAAGUGGGCAACAGGGUAAUGAGUCAAACAGAUCUUCACAGUUAUCAAAAAGUUCCCUGUGUCUGAAUCUGCUAACCAGUAACAGGGAUCUGGUUAUUAAAUUAAAGUUUGUUUGCAACAGGGCUUGUAAGAAAGGACUUCUUCUGUUGAAAGAACUGCUUUCUUUUUUCUUUUUUUUUUUUCAGAAUCUCCCAAUUUCCCAGAGAAGUCAGCAUGUGACCUAGUCUACUCAAUCAGAAUAAUCCAUCCUCAUGGCUUGGGAUAGGCAGGGAACCCUAGAAGGCUCAAUCAGAUUAUGUCCAGAUUUGCUAUUUAGGUGCUUAGUGAGAAAAUAGGGCCUUCCCUCAUUUGGGGAUCACAAGCUAUAAAGAUAAUUUAGAUUAAAAUUGCUUCCUGUUCCCUUUUCCAGAUGCAUGGGGAAAAGCAUGUGUAAAAGAGAGAAUGAGUCCAAUAUUAGGAAAGAGUCCCAAAUGAAGAGAGAGAUGAGGAUUGACUACAGAGAGACAGGGUCCUGAGGUCUUGGACCCUGAAUCCAGCCAUGCCUGAAACCAAACAAGCCCUGUUCUUUCAUGAACCAAUAAAUUGAUUUUAUUGAAGCCAGUUUUAAGCCAAGUUCAGCUGAGUUUCUCAAGCUUGCAAUGAAACGAGAUCACAUGAAUACAUUUGCCUUCUUAAGAUUUCACAGCAGUUAAUAGCUGCUGUGUCCACUUACAGCUAGUCUGAACUUUAGAGGUUGCCUGGAAAACACUUGCUCAAUUCUAGUCUCUGUUGCUCUUCACCAGGACACUGACCACUUGAGAGCAUGAAUGGCUAGUGCUCCCUCUCUGGCAGAAGCCAGGUGAUAUCAGACCCGUGUCACUGCAUAGCACUGCUUUCAAUGUAUACUUAUUCUUUGGAGAGACUGAGCAUACGUGGUCUUUUCAGACUGAGGAUAAAAUUGCCAGCCCUCUCCUCUUUGUAUCACACCUAUAAUUCAAAUUCUGACCUUUCUCCGGAAACUGGAUGCUGGUUUUUAUUUUCUGUUUGAGGGCUCAAUGCUCAGCUCACACUCAACAAGUCUGAAACAGCACUCAGCACCCUCUGGUGCUAUUGAUGGCAGUCCUACUAUGCCGGUCACCUGCCCUAAAGCAGUUCAGGAGAGGCCAACUCAAAAUAUGUCCCUUUGGUGUAUCAGUUACUUUUUGCUGGAGGCCCUUGAGAAAGAUGCAAGAAGAGCUUUCUGACCUUCCACCUUUCUUACCUAAGAAGAUAAUGUCCCCUGAUCUAGGGCCUCUCCCUGUGCCAGUAAGAGAAGAGCAUCCUUAUCCACAAAGAUUGGGGAUCAACUCUGACAUGGAUCUGUAUGAAUUUACUAAAAUGGCCCUCAUCUUGCACAAUCCCCCAUAUAUUACCUAGUGACUUCCCCACAAUUUCUUAGGACCAGUGUGGCAUCCUUGUUAUGGUGGUUGAAGGUAGAGGAGAAAACAGCUUUCUUUCUCUUUUCCCACAGCAGGGAAUCAGACAACCGCAACAUUAGCUUCCCCAGUUUCCCUUGCAGCUAUGCAUGACUUGAGUUCUGGCCAAAGAGAGUAAGGAAGGUGUGACAGGGUGGAAGCUAUGGGAAAGUGUUUUAAAAGUAGGAUGUGCAGGAAUGCUCUCCUUGGGCUUCCUGCCUCCCCCUUUUUCUUCUUUGGGAAUGCACAAGAAUACUCAUGGGCAUAGCAGCCAUCCUGGCACCAUGAGACCCUGAGAAUAAGGAUAUGUUCACAGGAUGGCAGAGAACACAGACAGAAAGAACCCUGUUUCCUUGAUGAUGUCAUCUGACUACCAUGAAGCUGUGGGCUAUUUUUCCCCACACUCCUUAUUGUACAAGACAAAACCAAAAAAACAAAACUCUACUUGAGUAAUGUCAUUAUUAGGUUUCCUAUUGAUUGCAGCUGAAUCAAAUGCUACAGUCAUCUGUUAGGAAUAUUAAGUGUAAUUCUAAAGAAACAGAAUUUUUCUAUAAGCACUUUUUAUAAGGAAUUCAGGGGAUGCUGUAUCAGAAAACCCUCUCCUUUGGCUGUAAGUAUCCAUACUCCUGGAGGCUCUAUUCAGUCUCUUCCUGUCUUGGUUCCCUUUGUCUUCACUUUGUGUUGGAUAAUUAUCAAGUAUAGAUUAGUGAUAUGAUGUAUUGCUAACUGAUGCUUUGUUGUAUAUUACACAUCCCCAAUACUAUUUAAAGUGCAUUUCUUAAGUAUGGGUCAGUGACAUGUACUGUCACUGAUUUGUUGUGGACUUAAGCUAUGUAUCUCCAGCAGGCCUUCAAGUGCCUUGCAGGAUGUGGCUAUAUUUUAUGCUCUCUCUCUCCCAGAGUGCCCAGGCUGGAAAGAAUCGCACAGUGGGUUGGUGCUCAGGCCUGGGACCCUUGUGUUUGAAUCCUGGC
Molecule: long non-coding RNA, 4572 nt
Filed under: Marmota monax (woodchuck)
Lineage: Eukaryota; Metazoa; Chordata; Mammalia; Rodentia; Sciuridae
Source: RNAcentral